CUCAGCUCGCCUGCACCCAGGUGAAAUAAACAGCUUUAUUGCUCACACAAAGCCUGUUUGGUGGUCUCUUCAGACGGACGUGCAUGAAAUUUGGUGCCGUGACUCGGAUCGGGGGACCUCCCUUGGGAGAUCAAUCCCCUGUCCUCCUGCUCUGUGCUCCGUGAGAAAGAUCCACCUACGACCUCAGGUCCUCAGACCGACCAGCCCAAUAAACAUCUCACCAAUUUCAAAUCCGGUAAGCGGCCUCUUUUUACUCUCUUCUCCAACCUCCCUCACUAUCCCUCAACCUCUUUCUCCUUUCAAUCUUGGCACCACACUUCAAUCUCUCCCUUCUCUUAAUUUCAAUUCAUUUCAUUUUCUGGUAGAGACAAAAGAGACAUGUUUUAUCCAUGAACCCAAAACUCCAGCGCCAGUCCCGGACUGGGAAGGCAGGCUUCCCUUGGUGUUUAAUCAUUGCAGGGACACCUCUCUGAUUACACACUCACGUUUCAAGGGUGUCAGACCACGCAGGGACACCUGCCUUGGUCCUUCACCCUUAGCGGCAAGUCCUGCUUUCCUAGGGGGCAAGAAGCCCCCAAUCGCUUAUUUCCGCACCCCAACCUCUUAUCUCUGUGCCCCAAUCCCUUAUUUCUGCACCCUGACCUCUUAUCUCUGUGCCCCAAUCCCUUAUUUCCGUGCCCCCACCCCUUCUCUGCUUUUCUGGAGGGCAAGAACCCCCCACCCCUUCUCUGUGUCUCUACUCUUUUCUCUGGGCUUGCCUCCUUCACUACGGGUAACCUUCCACCCUCCAUUCGUCCUUCUACUCCCUUGGCCUGUGUUCUCAAAAACUUAAAACCUCUUAAACUCACACCUGACCUAAAACCUAAAUGCCUUAUUUUCUUCUGCAAUGCCGCUUGACCCCAAUACAAACUCGACAGUAGUUCCAAAUAGCCAGAAAAUGGCACUUUGAAUUUUUCCAUCCUGCAAGAUCUAAAUAAUUCUUGUCGUAAAAUAGGCAAAUGGUCUGAGGUGCCUGAUGUCCAGGCAUUCUUUUACACAUCGGUCCCUUCCUAGUCUCUGUGCCCAGUGCAACUCGUCCAAAAUCUUCCUUCUUUCCCUCCCGCCUGUCCCCUCAGUACCAACCCCAAGCGUCACUGAGUCUUUCUAAUCUUCCUUUUCUACAGACCCAUCUGACCUCUCCCUUCCUCCCCAGGCUGCUCCUCGCCAGGCCGAGCUAGGUCCCAAUUCUUCCUCAGCCUCCGCUCCUCCACCCUAUAAUCUUUUUAUCGCCUCCCCUCCUCACAGCUGGUCCGGCUUACAGUUUCGUUCCGUGACUAGCCUUCCCCCUCCUGCCCAGCAAUUUACUCUUAAACAGGUGGCUGGGGCUAAAAGCAUAGUCAAGGUUAAUGCUCCUUUUUCUUUAUCCCAAAUCGGAUAGCGUUUAGGCUCUUUUUCAUCAAAUAUAAAAAUCCAGCCCAGUUCAUGGCUCAUUUGGCAGCAACCCUGAGACUCUUUACAGCCCUAGACCCUAAAAACUCAAAAGGCCGUCUUAUUCUCAAUAUACAUUUUAUUACCCAAUCUGCUCCCGACAUUAAAUAAAACUCCAAAAAUUAAAUUCCGGCCCUCAAACCCCACAACAGGAUUUAAUUCACCUCGCCUUCAAGGUGUACAAUAAUAGAAAAAAGUUGCAAUUCCUUGCCUCCACUGUGAGACAAACCCCAGCCACAUCUCCAGCACACAAGAACUUCCAAACGACUGAACCGCAGCAGCCAGGCGUUCCUCCAGAACCUCCUCCCACAGGAGCUUGCUACACGUGCCGGAAAUCUGGCCACUGGGCCAAGGAAUGCCCGCAGCCUGGGAUUCCUCCUAAGCCACGUCCCAUCUGUGUGGGACCCCACUGAAAAUCUGACUGUUCAACUCACCUGGCAGCCACUCCCAGAGCCCCUGGAACUCUGGCCCAAGGCUCUCUGACUGACUCCUUCCCAGAUCUUGGCUUAGCAGCUGAAGACUGACACUGCCCGAUCGCCUCGGAAGCCCCCGAGACCAUCACGGACGCCGAGCUGCCAGUAACUCUCACAGUGGAAGCCUCAGAAUACGAAGUGCCCUGCCUUCCAUCCCAGCCCACCCAGACAAGCAACUGAACAAAGUGGAAUAUGGGCUAGUGUUGAGAAGCCAUUCUCAAACCUCCACCAGGGGCUUGCUACAUGACUGGGGACUCCAUGCAAGAAAAUGUGGGGCUCCUCAUUCACAAAAUAGAAAAAGGUAUAAUUAAAGGUAUUAAAAUGUAAAGCAUUUUCUUUUAAAACUAUUUUAUUACUGAUAAAACUUGAGGGUGAUUAGUCAAUAUACUACAGAGAAACAGAACCAAUAGGUUAAUAGGUAGAUGAUAGAUAGAUAAUAAAUAGGUAGACAGAUAGAUAGAAGAUAGAUGGUGAUAUAGUUUUGCUGUGUCCCCACCAAAAUCUCAUCUUGAAUUGUAGUUCCCAGAAUCCCCAUGUAUCAUAAGAGGGACCCAGUGGGAGGUAAUUGAAUCAUGGGGUGGUUAACCCCAUGCUGUUCUCAUGAUAGUGAGUGAGUUCUCACGAGAUCUGAUGGUUUUAUAAGGGACUUUUCUCCGUUUGCUUUGGCACUUCUCAUUCCUACCGCCACAUGAAGAAAGAUGUGUUUGCUUUCUCUUCUGCCGUGAUUAUAAGUUACCUGAGGUAUCCCCAGCCCUGUGAGUCAAUUUAACCUCUUUCCUUUAUAAAUUACCCAGUGUCGGGCAGCUCUUUAUAGCAGCGUGAGAACGAAGUAAUACAGGUAAAUAGUAAGAGGAAGAGGAGAGAUACACAAUAAGGAAUUGGUUCACACAAUUACAGAGGCUAGGAAGUUGCAAGAUCUGCAGUCAGCAGUUACAGACCCAGGAGAGCUGACAAUGUAAGUUCCAGUCCAAGUUUGAAUUUGAGGUCAGAAGGAGACCAAUCUCCCAGUGCAAAGACAGGCAAAGAAAGCAAGUUCUGUCACUCCACCUUUUGUGUUCUAUUCAGGCCUUCAACAGGUUGGAUGAUGCUCACCUGCACCUGGGAGGGCCAUCUGCUAAUUCCAAUGCUGAUCUUAUCCAGAAACACCCUCACAGACACACCUAGAAAUAAUGUUUAACCAAAUAUCUUGGCACCUUACAGCAUAGUUGGGUUGUAACAAAAAAUUAACCUUCACAAGGGGUAAUAGUUUUACCUGAGUAA
Molecule: long non-coding RNA, 3200 nt
Filed under: Homo sapiens (human)
Lineage: Eukaryota; Metazoa; Chordata; Mammalia; Primates; Hominidae
Description: HSALNT0151904
Source: RNAcentral